GAUUUGCUACGGCGUUGGUGACUGCCAAUAAUGUUUUAUGAUCUACAAAUCAACAUAAACGGGAGUCGUGAUGUUCCAGUGGCAGUAAACCGGGCUUGUACCCGGAAACUUAAAACUGGAGCCGAGAUUUCCACCUGGAAUUUUCCAGGUCAAAAGCUGAGGUAAGACGGCGCUGCGGUGGAUCC
Molecule: non-coding RNA, 185 nt
Filed under: Vacuolonema iberomarrocanum LEGE 07170
Lineage: Bacteria; Bacillati; Cyanobacteriota; Cyanophyceae; Oculatellales; Oculatellaceae
Description: filamentous cyanobacterium LEGE 07170 6S / SsrS RNA
Rfam family: 6S / SsrS RNA
About the family: E. coli 6S RNA was the first non coding RNA to be sequenced, but its function was unknown until recently. It consists of 184 nucleotides that fold into an extended hairpin structure with a large single-stranded internal bulge.
Source: Rfam by way of RNAcentral